CACGUAGGGUGCGAGCGUUGUCCGGAAUUAUUGGGCGUAAAGCGCACGUAGGCGGUUUGUUAAGUCGGAUGUGAAAUCCCUCGGCUCAACUGAGGAAGUGCAUCCGAAACUGGCAGGCUUGAGUACUAAAGAGGGUCGCGGAAUUCCCGGUGUAGAGGUGAAAUUCGUAGAUAUCGGGAGGAACACCGGUGGCGAGGGCGGCGACCUGGGUAGAUACUGACGCUGAGGCACGAAAGCGUGGGGAUCGAACAGG
RNAcentral lists this ribosomal RNA (253 nucleotides) under uncultured bacterium. RNAcentral's name for it is "partial 16S ribosomal RNA". It matches the Rfam family "Bacterial small subunit ribosomal RNA", at positions 524 to 776 of the family's 1533-position model. The record is from RNAcentral.